GGGGUCUUACAGUAUAUGUGUUGUCGUAUUUUGUACGACAAUUCAAUUGUUGUAAUAAGAUAGUUCACGUCAGAAGUGUUGUAUUUAUGACAAUCUAAAAUAUAUUGUGUAGACCUAUUUUAGGGGCGUCACAAAUCUCCUCCCUCUGAUUCAAGGAUAAUUAAGAAAAGUUGAGAAUAAAAAGCCAUCUCCAUUCUAAACAAACAAACAAACAAACCCACAAAGCAAUAAAGUCCCCAAUCAAGUUGAAAAAACCAUCAGAACCAUCACCAACUGAAAAUAAGAAUUCCAAAUCUCGUCAUGCACAAUAAUAAACAUUAACUAAAACAUAAAACCCAAUUUGAACAAGCACACGGAUCGACAGAAAGCAACGACCCAUUCGCGCAAAGCAGGACCUCAGAUCCAACCUACUAAAAACAAAUCAGAUCCUAGAAAGUCGAACCAAGAUUCCGGCGAGACCACAACACCAUUCAAAACUUUAUUUCGCUUUCUCGAUACCAGACGAUUGUAUGUUAGACCAAUUUUAGCCUUACUGUAUUAUGAGGUUUCACAGGAAAAAAAUCAGUGAUGCCGGAGUCGUAUACCAGAAACAAAGUCUCCAUCGUCGUUCCCGAUAGCUCGGGCAGUCAUAUUGGAAGUUGGAACUCCAUACAUGUUUACAUUUUCAUCAAUGGCGUUCAUAAUUGCUCUAUAGAUUCAAUAAUCACAUAAAUUAAAAUUAUUCUACAUAAAAUUAAAGGAGGAGAUUAUAGAGAAAUCAAGAAAGGAAUAAAUGGAGGAGAGAGACUUGAGA
This 793-nucleotide long non-coding RNA is filed under the name Panax ginseng (ginseng). RNAcentral's name for it is "long non-coding RNA (PGIN_LNC011436)". Lineage: Eukaryota; Viridiplantae; Streptophyta; Magnoliopsida; Apiales; Araliaceae. The record is from RNAcentral.